AGCGAACGCUGGCGGCAGGCUUAACACAUGCAAGUCGAACGCCCCGCAAGGGGAGUGGCAGACGGGUGAGUAACACGUGGGAACGUACCCUUUGGUUCGGAAUAACUUGGGGAAACUCAAGCUAAUACCGGAUAAGCCCUUAUGGGGAAAGGUUUACUGCCGAAGGAUCGGCCCGCGUCUGAUUAGCUAGUUGGUGAGGUAAUGGCUCACCAAGGCGACGAUCAGUAGCUGGUCUGGGAGGAUGAUCAGCCACACUGGGACUGAAACACGGCCCAGACUCCUACGGGAGGCAGCAUUGGGGAAUAUUGGACAAUGGGGGCAACCCUGAUCCAGCCAUGCCGCGUGAGUGAUGAAGGCCUUAGGGUUGUAAAGCUCUUUUACCCGGGACGAUAAUGACUGUACCGGGAGAAUAAGCCCCGGCUAACUUCGUGCCAGCCGCCGCCGUAA
Molecule: ribosomal RNA, 447 nt
Filed under: uncultured bacterium
Lineage: Bacteria
Description: partial 16S ribosomal RNA
Rfam family: Bacterial small subunit ribosomal RNA
Source: RNAcentral